This 341-nucleotide RNase P RNA is filed under the name Sterolibacterium sp. RNAcentral's name for it is "partial RNase P RNA component class A". It matches the Rfam family "Bacterial RNase P class A", at positions 1 to 249 of the family's 367-position model. From Rfam's summary of the family: Ribonuclease P (RNase P) is a ubiquitous endoribonuclease, found in archaea, bacteria and eukarya as well as chloroplasts and mitochondria. Its best characterised activity is the generation of mature 5'-ends of tRNAs by cleaving the 5'-leader elements of precursor-tRNAs. The record is from RNAcentral. Lineage: Bacteria; Pseudomonadati; Pseudomonadota; Betaproteobacteria; Nitrosomonadales; Sterolibacteriaceae.
GAAGUUCGCUAGGCAGUCGCUGUGAGCAUUUGCUCAUGGAGGAAAGUCCGGGCCCCGUAGAGCAGGAUGCCGGCUAACGGCCGGGCGCUAUAAGUCGUCGCGCAAGCGGCGACCCAAGGCGACGGAAAGUGCAACAGAAAGAUACCGCCGAUGGCCUCCCGGAGGACUUCGCCGCCGCAAGGCGGCAAAGUCCUCUUUAGAAGAGCAGUCCCGUGAGGGAUGCUCUUCCGGGAGGCCAGGUAAGGGUGAAAUGGCGAGGUAAGAGCUCACCGCGGACGCAGUAAUGCGGACGGCACGGCAAACCCCAUCCGGGGCAAGGCCAAAUAGGGAAGCCAUGACGC